AGAGUUUGAUCAUGGCUCAGGAUGAACGCUGGCGGCGUGCUUAAUACAUGCAAGUCGAGCGAGGACCACCCGGUGGCAACACCGGAUGACUCCUAGCGGCGAACGGGUGAGUAACACGUGGGCAACCUGCCCCCGACUCUGGGAUAAGCCCGGGAAACUGGGUCUAAUACCGGAUACGAGCCUCCUCCGCACGGUGGAGGUUGGAAAGGGUCUCCGGUCGGGGAUGGGCCCGCGGCCUAUCAGCUUGUUGGUGGGGUAACGGCCCACCAAGGCGACGACGGGUAGCCGGCCUGAGAGGGUGAACGGCCACACUGGGACUGAGACACGGCCCAGACUCCUACGGGAGGCAGCAGUAGGGAAUCUUGCGCAAUGGGCGAAAGCCUGACGCAGCGACGCCGCGUGCGGGAUGACGGCCUUCGGGUUGUAAACCGCUUUCAGUUCCGACGAAGCGCAAGUGACGGUAGGAACAGAAGAAGGACCGGCCAACUACGUGCCAGCAGCAGCGGCGGUAAUAC
RNAcentral lists this ribosomal RNA (515 nucleotides) under uncultured bacterium. Its description in RNAcentral is "bacterial SSU rRNA". It matches the Rfam family "Bacterial small subunit ribosomal RNA", at positions 8 to 526 of the family's 1533-position model. The record is from RNAcentral.